GACAGAGGGUGCAAACGUUGUUCGGAUUUACUGGGCGUAAAGCGUGUGUAGGCGGCUUUGCAAGUCGGAUGUGAAAUCCCACGGCUCAACCGUGGAAGUGCAUCCGAAACGGCAUCGCUUGAGUCUCGGAGAGGAAGGUGGAAUGCUUGGUGUAGAGGUGAAAUUCGUAGAUAUCAAGCAGAACACCUGCGGCGAAGGCGGACCUUCUGGACGAUGACUGACGCUGAGACACGAAGCGUGGGAGCAACAGG
Molecule: ribosomal RNA, 251 nt
Filed under: uncultured bacterium
Lineage: Bacteria
Description: partial 16S ribosomal RNA
Rfam family: Bacterial small subunit ribosomal RNA
Source: RNAcentral